Podarcis raffonei (Aeolian wall lizard) is the source of this 727-nucleotide long non-coding RNA. RefSeq lists it as uncharacterized. NCBI's taxonomy places the organism in Eukaryota, Metazoa, Chordata, Lepidosauria, Squamata, Lacertidae. The record is from RefSeq and is a predicted model, not a curated record. The transcript is spliced from 4 exons.
GUGCAUCGCCAGGGAGAAGCCGAAGAGGCUUCCGGAGUCCCCGCUCCACAUGACCACGUUGCCCGUGUCCAGGUUGAAGGCGAGGACGAGCCCCGGCAGGAGGGACAGCUGCAAAAGGAACAGCGCACUGACAACUGGACUCGUCUCCCUCCAAAGUAGAACCGCCAAAGGACUGAGUCAGCAGCACAGAGAGUGUUUUUUUGGUAAAUGAAGGCCUGAGCUAUUUGCCCCGGACAAUGGCUUCAUUUCCCCAUGUGUAUACUUUAGAUAAUCUAAACUAAGAACUGGCUGUUGAGUGAAAACAGAAAAAGUACUGUUUGAUGUUCACCCAUUCACUGAUACCUUACCACAAACAUUGCUUGUUUUGGUGAAACACAUGCAAACAAAGAAUCGGGGCCUCUUCGCUGUGUUCCUCCAACUUGUGCAGAAGACCUUCAGCCAAAUUGCUGGCCCACACCCUGACUUGGAGGAGAUGCGGUUGCUGACAAUCUAACCCUCCCGAAUUCUUCAUUACCUGCCCUGCUGCAUCACCAUUUAUUUUACCGUCUUCCCUACCCUGGUCUCCAUGAAACUGACAGUUGUGGUUGAGUGGUUGGGAGUGGAAUCCUUGUAAAUAUCACAGAAACCUCUCUUUGAUCUUAAAUGAACGUUUUAAUUGAAAUAUCGAUAGGGACACAACCCAGUUGUGCUCCAGGAAGAUACCUCUGUACAGGAAGGGGGGAAUGUU